CUACGUGCCAGCAGCCGCGGUAAUACGUAUGUCACAAGCGUUAUCCGGAUUUAUUGGGCGUAAAGCGCGUCUAGGUGGUUAUGUAAGUCUGAUGUGAAAAUGCAGGGCUCAACUCUGUAUUGCGUUGGAAACUGUGUAACUAGGGUACUGGAGAGGUAAGCGGAACUACAAGUGUAGAGGUGAAAUUCGUAGAUAUUUGUAGGAAUGCCGAUGGGGAAGCCAGCUUACUGGACAGAUACUGACGCUGAAGCGCGAAAGCGUGGGUAGCAAACAGGAUUAGAUACCCUGGUAGUCCACGCCGUAAACGAUGAUUACUAGGUGUUGGGGGUCGAACCUCAGCGCCCAAGCAAACGCGAUAAGUAAUCCGCCUGGGGAGUACGUACGCAAGUAUGAAACUCAAAGGAAUUGACGGGGACCCGCMCAAGCGGUGGAGCAUGUGGUUUAAUUCGACGCAACGCGAGGAACCUUACCAGCGUUUGACAUC
This 484-nucleotide ribosomal RNA is filed under the name uncultured bacterium. RNAcentral describes it as "bacterial SSU rRNA". It matches the Rfam family "Bacterial small subunit ribosomal RNA", at positions 501 to 988 of the family's 1533-position model. The record is from RNAcentral.